This 460-nucleotide ribosomal RNA is filed under the name uncultured bacterium. RNAcentral's name for it is "partial 16S ribosomal RNA". It matches the Rfam family "Bacterial small subunit ribosomal RNA", at positions 338 to 795 of the family's 1533-position model. The record is from RNAcentral.
CCUACGGGUGGCAGCAGUGAGGAAUAUUGGUCAAUGGGCGGAAGCCUGAACCAGCCAAGUAGCGUGCAGGAUGACGGCCCUACGGGUUGUAAACUGCUUUUAUACGGGAAUAACGCGCCUUACGUGUAGGGCUUUGCAUGUACCGUAUGAAUAAGGACCGGCUAAUUCCGUGCCAGCAGCCGCGGUAAUACGGAAGGUCCGGGCGUUAUCCGGAUUUAUUGGGUUUAAAGGGAGCGUAGGCCGCAUGUCAAGCGUGCGGGGAAAUGGCCGGGCUCAACCCGGGCCGUGCAGGGCGAACUGGCGGGCUUGAGUGCGCGGAAAGUAGGCGGAAUGCGUGGUGUAGCGGUGAAAUGCUUAGAUAUGACGAAGAACACCGAUUGCGAAGGCAGCUUGCUGCAGCGGAACUGACGCUGAGGCUCGAAAGCGCGGGUAUCGAACAGGAUUAGAUACCCCGGUAGUC